This 623-nucleotide ribosomal RNA is filed under the name uncultured euryarchaeote. Its description in RNAcentral is "bacterial SSU rRNA". It matches the Rfam family "Archaeal small subunit ribosomal RNA", at positions 63 to 691 of the family's 1478-position model. Lineage: Archaea; Methanobacteriati; Methanobacteriota. The record is from RNAcentral.
AGCUUUCGGAGCUCGGCGUACCGCUCAGUAACACGUGGGUAACCUAACCUAUGCAGGGGAAUAACCUCGGGAAACUGAGUAUAAUGCCCCAUAGUCCACUACGCCUGGAACGGUGAGUGGAUCAAAGCUCAGGCGGCAUAGGAUGGGCCUGCGGCGUAUCAGGUUGUAGGGGGUGUAAAGUACCCUCUAGCCAUCUACGCGUACGGGUGUUGGGAGACAUAGCCCGGAGAUGGAUUCUGAGACACGAAUCCAGACCCUACGGGGUGCAGCAGGCGCGAAAACUUGACAAUGCGAGCAAUCGUGAUCAGGGAACUCCAAGUGGCUGGGGUAAGACCCAGUCUUUUCAUAACUCUUCAAAGGUUGUAGAAUAAGGGGUGGGUAAGGACGGUGCCAGCCGCCGCGGUAAUACCGGCGCCUCAAGUGGUAGUCGCUUUUAUUGGGCCUAAAACGUCCGUAGCCGGUUUGGUACAUUCGUGGGUAAAUCAACUCGCUCAACGAGUUGAAUUCUGCGAGGACGGCCAGACUUGGGACCGGGAGAGGUGUGGGGUACUCUCAGGGUAGGGGUAAAAUCCUGUCAUCCUGAGAGGACCACCUGUUGCGAAGGCGCCACACUAGAACGGAUC